CCCUGAUGCAAGUUUUCUCCACGGGACACCCCUGACCUACGUAUCUGUGUCCUUCCAACCGGCAUCUAGGAGCUAUGAACAAUAUAUAUUACUGAAUUAUGCCAUCGAUAUAUUUUAAAGUGUACAAUCGUUUCUACAAUAUUAUUAUAGGUAUAAAACUACAAAUGGAUUAUCCCGUAUGAACUUACAUAAUGGUAAACACCUAAGUCCAUCGCCUAUGAAACCAGCAUUGCAAGUACACCCGUAAGUGCCCGGAUAAUUCGUGCAAUAACUAUCCCUGUGACAGACUUCUGGUAUACUGCAUUCGUUGACAUCUAUGCACUCGAAAUCGGUGGAAUCGCUCGAUAACAGUCGUAUUUCAUAACUAUAGUUGACAAAUAUUUACUAUUUAAUUUGAGGAAACGUUGUUAUUUUAAAAUAUACCUAUUGUAUAGUUAAAUCUGCUUAAUAAGAUAAAAGUUCUUUUUAUAAAUAAUUUGUAACGUUAUCAGUUCCUAAUAAAGUAAUAAAUAAACGAUUAAUUUACCCUUGAAUGCAGGAACAAGUGCUAAUAUUAUUAGGCACAUCACAAACGCUGUUCUCGAUGUUAAAAGCCCUUGAUGUUGAUUCUAAAAAAAAUAUACGAAUUUCGAAGUUGACAUAAGUUCAAUGGUACAUACAUUUUUAAAUACAACCCCUUUCCGGGGUAUUAGUGAUAAAUAUUUUUAAUUACAUCCAAGCCCCGUUACGUUAUACUGGUUGCACAAAUUAUCUUGGUAAUCUAAUUGGAUACAGAACUUGUGAAAAUUAAUAAAUGAAAAAAUAUUAAGUUGA
Long non-coding RNA from Aphis gossypii (cotton aphid), 813 nucleotides. RefSeq lists it as uncharacterized. NCBI's taxonomy places the organism in Eukaryota, Metazoa, Arthropoda, Insecta, Hemiptera, Aphididae. The transcript has 2 exons. The record is from RefSeq and is a predicted model, not a curated record.